This 530-nucleotide ribosomal RNA is filed under the name ascomycete from Cephaloziella exiliflora rhizoid. Its description in RNAcentral is "SSU rRNA". It matches the Rfam family "Eukaryotic small subunit ribosomal RNA", at positions 220 to 755 of the family's 1831-position model. The record is from RNAcentral. Lineage: Eukaryota; Fungi; Ascomycota.
AACCAUGCCCUUCGGGGCUCCUUGGUGAUUCAUAAUAACUUAACGAAUCGCAUGGCCUUGCGCCGGCGAUGGUUCAUUCAAAUUUCUGCCCUAUCAACUUUCGAUGGUACAGUAGUGGUCUACCAUGGUUUUAACGGGUAACGGGGAAUUAGGGUUCUAUUCCGGAGAGGGAGCCUGAGAAACGGCUACCACAUCCAAGGAAGGCAGCAGGCGCGCAAAUUACCCAAUCCCAAUUCGGGGAGGUAGUGACAAUAAAUACUGAUACAGGGCUCUUUCGGGUCUUGUAAUUGGAAUGAGAACAAUUUAAAUCCCUUAACGAGGAACAAUUGGAGGGCAAGUCUGGUGCCAGCAGCCGCGGUAAUUCCAGCUCCAAUAGCGUAUAUUAAAGUUGUUGCAGUUAAAAAGCUCGUAGUUGAACCUUGGGCCUGACCGAUCUGUCCUCCUAACCGAGCGCACGGAUUCGGUUGGGUCUUUCCUUCUGGGGAGCCCUAUGCCCUUCACUGGGCGUAGUGGGGAACCAGGACUUUUAC